This 278-nucleotide small RNA is filed under the name marine eukaryotic metagenome. RNAcentral describes it as "5' ureB small RNA". It matches the Rfam family "5' ureB small RNA". The record is from RNAcentral.
AUCAGUUCAGGGCAGAUCAGGUGGACGUGACAGUCGAUCGCGCCAGCGGUGAGGAUUCGACCAUUACCAGCCAUGAUCUCCGUCGACGGCCCGAUGACGAGAUGAGGGUGCACACCGUCGGUCGUGUCGGGGUUGCCGGCUCGUCCGAUGGCGGCGAUGCGGCCGUCACGGAUGCCGACAUCGGCUUUCACGAUGCCCCAGUGGUCGAGGAUAACUGCGCCGGUGAUCACGAGAUCAGGAGUGCCUUCGGCGCGGGUAGUGGUCGACUGACCCAUCGA